GCUGGCGGCGCGCUUAACACAUGCAAGUCGCACGAGAAAGUGGAGCAAUCCAUGAGUAAAGAGGCGUACGGGUGAGUAACACGUGGAUCAUCUACCUUUUAGUGGGGAAUACCCCCGGGAAACUGGGGAUAAUACCGCAUAAGCCUGUAAAGGGAAAGCAGCAAUGCGCUGAAAGAGGAGUCCGCGGCUGAUUAGCUAGUUGGUGAGGUAAUGGCUCACCAAGGCGAAGAUCGGUAGCCGGCCUGAGAGGGCACACGGCCACACUGGCACUGAAACACGGGCCAGACUCCUACGGGAGGCAGCAGUGGGGAAUCUUGCACAAUGGAGGAAACUCUGAUGCAGCGACGCCGCGUGAGCGAUGAAGCCCUUCGGGGUGUAAAGCUCUUUCGACGGGAACGAUAAUGACGGUACCCGAAGAAGAAGCUGCGGCUAACUACGUGCCAGCAGCCGCGGUAAUACGUAGGCAGCAAGCGUUGUUCGGAAUUACUGGGCGUAAAGAGUGUGUAGGCGGUGUUCUAAGUUUGUCGUGAAAUCUCCCGGCUUAACUGGGAGGGUGCGG
RNAcentral lists this ribosomal RNA (559 nucleotides) under uncultured soil bacterium. RNAcentral describes it as "bacterial SSU rRNA". It matches the Rfam family "Bacterial small subunit ribosomal RNA", at positions 35 to 626 of the family's 1533-position model. The record is from RNAcentral.